GUUAUAGGGUCAAGCGAACAAGUGCAUGUGGUGGAUGCCUUGGCGAUCACAGGCGAUGAAGGACGCGGUAGCCUGCGAAAAGCUACGGGGAGCUGGCAAACGAGCUUUGAUCCGUAGAUGUCCGAAUGGGGAAACCCGGCCCUUUUGGGUCAUCCUAGACUGAAUACAUAGGUCUAGUGAGGCGAACGCGGUGAACUGAAACAUCUAAGUAACCGCAGGAAAAGAAAUCAACCGAGAUUCCCAAAGUAGUGGCGAGCGAAAUGGGAAGAGCCUGUACUCUUUAUUUGUAUUGUUAGCCGAACGCUCUGGAAAGUGCGGCCAUAGCAGGUGAUAGCCCUGUAGGCGAAAACAGUAUGAAAGAACUAGGUGUACGACAAGUAGGGCGGGACACGUGAAAUCCUGUCUGAAGAUGGGGGGACCAUCCUCCAAGGCUAAAUACUCGUGAUCGACCGAUAGUGAACCAGUACCGUGAGGGAAAGGCGAAAAGAACCCCGGGAGGGGAGUGAAAUAGAUCCUGAAACCGCAUGCAUACAAACAGUCGGAGCCUCGCAAGGGGUGACGGCGUACCUUUUGUAUAAUGGGUCAGCGACUUACGUUCAGUAGCAAGCUUAACCGAAUAGGGCAGGCGUAGCGAAAGCGAGUCCGAAUAGGGCGUUCAGUUGCUGGGCGUAGACCCGAAACCAGGUGAUCUAUCCAUGGCCAGGAUGAAGGUGCGGUAACACGUACUGGAGGUCCGAACCCACUAACGUUGAAAAGUUAGGGGAUGAGCUGUGGAUAGGGGUGAAAGGCUAAACAAACCUGGAAAUAGCUGGUUCUCUCCGAAAACUAUUUAGGUAGUGCCUCGUGUCUCACCUUCGGGGGUAGAGCACUGUCAUGGUUGGGGGGUCUAUUGCAGAUUACCCCGCCAUAGCAAACUCCGAAUACCGAAGAGUGCAAUCACGGGAGACAGACAUCGGGUGCUAACGUCCGGUGUCAAGAGGGAAACAACCCAGACCGCCAGCUAAGGUCCCCAAAUAUGGCUAAGUGGGAAACGAAGUGGGAAGGCUAAAACAGUCAGGAGG
This 1061-nucleotide ribosomal RNA is filed under the name Burkholderia pseudomallei. RNAcentral describes it as "bacterial LSU rRNA". It matches the Rfam family "Bacterial large subunit ribosomal RNA", at positions 1 to 1100 of the family's 2925-position model. The record is from RNAcentral. Lineage: Bacteria; Pseudomonadati; Pseudomonadota; Betaproteobacteria; Burkholderiales; Burkholderiaceae.